Molecule: ribosomal RNA, 496 nt
Filed under: uncultured bacterium
Lineage: Bacteria
Description: partial 16S ribosomal RNA
Rfam family: Bacterial small subunit ribosomal RNA
Source: RNAcentral
GAUGAACGCUGGCGGCGUGCCUAAUACAUGCAAGUAGAACGCUGAAGGAAGGAGCUUGCUCUUUCCGGAUGAGUUGCGAACGGGUGAGUAACGCGUAGGUAACCUGCCUGGUAGCGGGGGAUAACUAUUGGAAACGAUAGCUAAUACCGCAUAACAGUAGAUGUUGCAUGAUAUCUACUUAAAAGGUGCAAUUGCACCACUACCAGAUGGACCUGCGUUGUAUUAGCUAGUUGGUGAGGUAACGGCUCACCAAGGCGACGAUACAUAGCCGACCUGAGAGGGUGAUCGGCCACACUGGGACUGAGACACGGCCCAGACUCCUACGGGAGGCAGCAGUAGGGAAUCUUCGGCAAUGGACGGAAGUCUGACCGAGUAACGCCGCGUGAGUGAAGAAGGUUUUCGGAUCGUAAAGCUCUGUUGUAAGAGAAGAACGAGUGUGAGAGUGGAAAGUUCACACUGUGACGGUAUCUUACCAGAAAGGGACGGCUAACUACGU